GAUAUAAGGAAUUAUUCUACGUUGGCGGAGCGUUUGGAUCCGGAGCAGACGCUGAAUGUGUUGAAUGAGUGUUUUUCUGCGUGGGUGAAAGACGUCCAAAGCCACGACGGGACCGUCCUCGAGUUCCUCGGAGACGGCAUGCUCGCCGUUUUCGGAGCGCCCAAUGACAUACCGGAUCAUCCUGG
This 185-nucleotide non-coding RNA is filed under the name Thalassiosira rotula. The record is from RNAcentral. Lineage: Eukaryota; Bacillariophyta; Thalassiosirophyceae; Thalassiosirales; Thalassiosiraceae.